This 843-nucleotide ribosomal RNA is filed under the name Helicomyces hyalosporus. RNAcentral's name for it is "LSU rRNA". It matches the Rfam family "Eukaryotic large subunit ribosomal RNA", at positions 75 to 939 of the family's 3401-position model. Lineage: Eukaryota; Fungi; Ascomycota; Dothideomycetes; Tubeufiales; Tubeufiaceae. The record is from RNAcentral.
UUGCCUCAGUAACGGCGAGUGAAGCGGCAAUAGCUCAAAUUUGAAAUCUGGCUCUUUCAGAGUCCGAGUUGUAAUUUGUAGAGGAUGCUUCGGCUUACGUCUCGGUCUAAGUUCCUUGGAACAGGACGUCACAGAGGGUGAGAAUCCCGUUUGUGGCCGUGACUUCCGCCAUGUGAAGCUCCUUCGACGAGUCGAGUUGUUUGGGAAUGCAGCUCUAAAUGGGAGGUAUAUUUCUUCUAAAGCUAAAUACCGGCCAGAGACCGAUAGCGCACAAGUAGAGUGAUCGAAAGAUGAAAAGCACUUUGGAAAGAGAGUUAAAAAGUACGUGAAAUUGUUGAAAGGGAAGCGCUUGCGACCAGACUUGCCCGCGGAUGCUCAACCGGUCCUUCGGCCGGUGCACUCUUCCGCGGUCAGGCCAGCAUCAGUUCGAGCGGUCGGAUAAAGGCCUUGGGAAUGUGGCUCUCUUUGGGGAGUGUUAUAGCCCUUGGUGCAAUACGGCCCGCCUGGACUGAGGCCCGCGCUUCGGCUAGGAUGCUGGCGUAAUGGUCGUAAGCGGCCCGUCUUGAAACACGGACCAAGGAGUCUAACAUCUAUGCGAGUGUUUGGGUGUCAAACCCGUGCGCGAAAUGAAAGUGAACGGAGGUGGGAACCUUAGGGUGCACCAUCGACCGAUCCUGAUGUCUUCGGAUGGAUUUGAGUAAGAGCAUAGCUGUUGGGACCCGAAAGAUGGUGAACUAUGCCUGAAUAGGGUGAAGCCAGAGGAAACUCUGGUGGAGGCUCGCAGCGGUUCUGACGUGCAAAUCGAUCGUCAAAUUUGGGUAUAGGGGCGAAAGACUAAUCGAA